RNAcentral lists this ribosomal RNA (480 nucleotides) under uncultured bacterium. RNAcentral describes it as "SSU rRNA". It matches the Rfam family "Bacterial small subunit ribosomal RNA", at positions 26 to 507 of the family's 1533-position model. The record is from RNAcentral.
AGAGCGAACGCUGGCGGCGUGCUUAACACAUGCAAGUCGAACGCGCAGCAUUCUGUAGCAAUACAGGGUGUGGGCGCGUGGCGAACGGGUGCGUAACACGUGGAUAACCUUCCUUGAGGUGGGGAAUAACCCAGUGAAAAUUGGGCUAAUACCGCAUAACAUCGCGAUGGCACAUGCUGAUGCGAUCAAAGGCGCAAGUCGCCACAAGAGGGAUCCGCGGCCGAUUAGCUUGUUGGCGAGGUAAUGGCUCACCAAGGCAAUGAUCGGUAGCCGGACUGAGAGGUUGGCCGGCCACACUGGAACUGAGACACGGUCCAGACUCCUACGGGAGGCAGCAGUGGGGAAUCUUGCACAAUGGACGAAAGUCUGAUGCAGCAACGCCGCGUGGGGAUGAAGCUUCUCGGAGUGUAACCCCUUUCGACCCGGAAGAAUGCCCGCAAGGUAUGACGGUACGGUAUAAGAAGCCCGGCUAACUACGCG